UCCUACGGGGGGCAGCAGGCGCGAAAACUCCGCAAUGCGGGAAACCGUGACGGGGCCACCCCGAGUGCCGCCCGAAGAGGGCGCGUUUUUGCCCGGUGCAAAAAGCCGGGCGAAUAAGCGGGGGGCAAGUCUGGUGUCAGCCGCCGCGGUAAUACCAGCUCCGCGAGUGGUCGGGGUGCUUACUGGGCCUAAAGCGCCCGUAGCCGGCCCGGUAAGUCGUCCCUGAAAUCCACGGGCUCAACCCGUGGGCUGGGGACGAUACUGCCGGGCUUGGGGGCGGGAGAGGCCGAGGGUACUCCCGGGGUAGGGGCGAAAUCCGAUAAUCCCGGGAGGACCACCAGUGGCGAAGGCGCUCGGCUGGAACGCGCCCGACGGUGAGGGGCGAAAGCUGGGGGAGCAAAGGGGAUUAGAUACCCCUGUAGUCCCAGCUGUAAGCGAUGCGGGCUAGCUGUUGGGCGGGCUUAGAGCCCGCCCAGUGGCGGAGGGAAGCCGUUAAGCCCGCCGCCUGGGGAGUACGGCCGCAAGGCUGAAACUUAAAGGAAUUGGCGGGGGGGCACCACAAGGGGUGAAGCUUGCGGCUUAAUUGGAGUCAACGCCGGAAACCUUACCCGGGGCGACAGCAGGAUGAUGGCCAGGCUAACGACCUUGCCGGACGAGCUGAGAGGAGGUGCAUGGCCGUCGUCAGCUCGUGCCGUGAGGUGUCCGGUUAAGUCCGGCAACGAGCGAGACCCCCACCCCUAGUUGCUACCCGAUCCUUCGGGAUCGGGGGCACACUAGGGGGACUGCCGGCGUAAGCCGGAGGAAGGAGGGGGCCACGGCAGGUCAGUAUGCCCCGAAACCCCGGGGCUGCACGCGAGCUGUAAUGGCGGGGACAGCGGGAUCCGACCCCGAAAGGGGAAGGUAAUCCCGUAAACCCCGCCCCAGUAGGGAUCGAGGGCUGUAACUCGCCCUCGUGAACGUGGAAUCCCUAGUAACCGCGUGUCACCAACGCGCGGUGAAUACGUCCCUGCCCCUUGCACACACCGCCCGUC
RNAcentral lists this ribosomal RNA (1031 nucleotides) under uncultured archaeon. Its description in RNAcentral is "bacterial SSU rRNA". It matches the Rfam family "Archaeal small subunit ribosomal RNA", at positions 321 to 1354 of the family's 1478-position model. The record is from RNAcentral.